UGACUUUCAGAAUAAAACACAUGAACACAAUUUUAAAUUAUACUUGGUGGUGGAACAAUAGAAACGAAAUAAUCGUGAACUAACCCCAUUCGUAUAUUUAAAUUUAAAAAUACUUAAAAAGGCUUGUC
Bizionia argentinensis is the source of this 128-nucleotide regulatory RNA element. It matches the Rfam family "Bacteroidete tryptophan peptide leader RNA". The record is from Rfam. NCBI's taxonomy places the organism in Bacteria, Pseudomonadati, Bacteroidota, Flavobacteriia, Flavobacteriales, Flavobacteriaceae.